AUGGACGAGACCACGUUGCGGCAGUUUCUGGAACUAUGGUCGAGAGUACAAGCUUGGGAGCCGCAGGUCGACGAGCAGGAUGCGGUAUCUUGGUCCUGGGAGGCACAUGGCCAGUUCAUCGUGAGAUCGGCAUAUGCGAGCAGGUUUUGGGGACGUGAGGUGCUAGUGGCAAUAUUGCAACCCAAGGUUUUACAGGAACGCUCCUCCCAAGAGCUCUUCUUUAGUCUUCAUGUUUCAGCGCAAAAGUCGCAGGGUCUGCGAUGCUUCAAACCCCCACCAAAACCUGAGCUGAACUUAAAAUUGCCACUGCAUGCAUUGUCGACUCCACACAUCAUCAACUUCUUGUGGAGAAUUGCAUAUGCAGUAUACACCGUGCUCGGCAGGGUUAAGGACAAGAGGGGUGCUCAGGACAACAUAGGCAUAUAUGCCCAUGUGCUCCUUACGGCGGUAUUGAAGUGCAUGCAUUUAGUGAGUGUGAAAUCCAAGUGUCAUGAUGGUGGUCAUGGGUCCAUCUUACGUAGUCAAUCUGACAUCCGCAUCAACCACGCCCCACCUCCACGCCACCAGGAUUUCUACCUUUGUGACUUGUCUUCCCCCUCAAACACUUUGCACAUCAUGCCGCACAUUCCAUGA
This 633-nucleotide ribosomal RNA is filed under the name Triticum aestivum (bread wheat). RNAcentral's name for it is "partial small subunit ribosomal RNA". The record is from RNAcentral. Lineage: Eukaryota; Viridiplantae; Streptophyta; Magnoliopsida; Poales; Poaceae.